RNAcentral lists this ribosomal RNA (253 nucleotides) under uncultured bacterium. Its description in RNAcentral is "partial 16S ribosomal RNA". It matches the Rfam family "Bacterial small subunit ribosomal RNA", at positions 524 to 776 of the family's 1533-position model. The record is from RNAcentral.
UACGUAGGGACCAAGCGUUGUUCGGAUUUACUGGGCGUAAAGCGUGCGCAGGCGGCGCCGCAAGUCGAGUGUGAAAUCCCCGAGCUUAACUUGGGAAUUGCGCUCGAAACUACGGUGCUGGAGUGUGGCAGAGGGAGGUGGAAUUCCACGUGUAGCGGUGAAAUGCGUAGAGAUGUGGAGGAACACCGAUGGCGAAGGCAGCCUCCUGGGCCAACACUGACGCUCAUGCACGAAAGCGUGGGGAGCCAAAGGG